CCUGGCUCAGGAUGAACGCUAGCGACAGGCUUAACACAUGCAAGUCGAGGGGCAGCGGGGGUAGCAAUACCCGCCGGCGACCGGCGCACGGGUGAGUAACGCGUAUGUAACUUACCUAUCAGAGGGGGAUAACCCGGCGAAAGUCGGACUAAUACCGCAUGAAGCAGGGGCCCCGCAUGGGGAUAUUUGCUAAAGAUUCAUCGCUGAUAGAUAGGCAUGCGUUCCAUUAGGCAGUUGGCGGGGUAACGGCCCACCAAACCGACGAUGGAUAGGGGUUCUGAGAGGAAGGUCCCCCACAUUGGUACUGAGACACGGACCAAACUCCUACGGGAGGCAGCAGUGAGGAAUAUUGGUCAAUGGCCGAGAGGCUGAACCAGCCAAGUCGCGUGAGGGAUGAAGGUUCUAUGGAUCGUAAACCUCUUUUAUAAGGGAAUAAAGUGCGGGACGUGUCCCGUUUUGUAUGUACCUUAUGAAUAAGGAUCGGCUAACUCCGUGCCAGCAGCCGCGGUAAUACGGAGGAUCCGAGCGUUAUCCGGAUUUAUUGGGUUUAAAGGGUGCGUAGGCGGCCUUUUAAGUCAGCGGUGAAAGUCUGUGGCUCAACCAUAGAAUUGCCGUUGAAACUGGGGGGCUUGAGUAUGUUUGAGGCAGCCGGAAUGCGUGGUGUAGCGGUGAAAUGCAUAGAUAUCACGCAGACCCCCGAUUGCGAAGGCAGCCUGCCAAGGCAUGACUGACGCUGAUGCACGAAAGCGUGGGGAUCAAACAGGAUUAGAUACCCUGGUAGUCCACGCAGUAAACGAUGAUCACUAGCUGUUUGCGAUACACUGUAAGCGGCACAGCGAAAGCGUUAAGUGAUCCACCUGGGGAGUACGCCGGCAACGGUGAAACUCAAAGGAAUUGACGGGGGCCCGCACAAGCGGAGGAACAUGUGGUUUAAUUCGAUGAUACGCGAGGAACCUUACCCGGGUUUGAACGCAUUCGGACCGAGGUGGAAACACCUUUUCUAGCAAUAGCCGUUUGCGAGGUGCUGCAUGGUUGUCGUCAGCUCGUGCCGUGAGGUGUCGGCUUAAGUGCCAUAACGAGCGCAACCCUUGCCACUAGUUACUAACAGGUGAUGCUGAGGACUCUGGUGGGACUGCCAGCGUAAGCUGCGAGGAAGGCGGGGAUGACGUCAAAUCAGCACGGCCCUUACAUCCGGGGCGACACACGUGUUACAAUGGCGUGGACAAAGGGAGGCCACCUGGCGACAGGGAGCGAAUCCCCAAACCACGUCUCAGUUCGGAUCGGAGUCUGCAACCCGACUCCGUGAAGCUGGAUUCGCUAGUAAUCGCGCAUCAGCCAUGGCGCGGUGAAUACGUUCCCGGACGUGUACACACCGCCCG
RNAcentral lists this ribosomal RNA (1379 nucleotides) under uncultured bacterium. Its description in RNAcentral is "bacterial SSU rRNA". It matches the Rfam family "Bacterial small subunit ribosomal RNA", at positions 18 to 1396 of the family's 1533-position model. The record is from RNAcentral.